This 327-nucleotide long non-coding RNA is filed under the name Setaria viridis. Its description in RNAcentral is "long non-coding RNA (SVIR_LNC004776)". The record is from RNAcentral. Lineage: Eukaryota; Viridiplantae; Streptophyta; Magnoliopsida; Poales; Poaceae.
UUCCCCACUGACUACAUAAUCAUACUCUGUCCUGCCAUCACCACUGCCUCGCCUCCAACUGGGCCGCCCUGCUCCUCUCCACCACCGGUUGCCAUCUUCUCUGGCAAAUGGUUAGAGCUAACAUAUACAUGCAUUGCCUAUUGUGCAACAUAGAAUUUGAAUACCUGAAAGCAAAUCUUCAUAUCUUUUCCGUAGUAGCAUAGAGAAGAAUAACUUUGUCUAAUAUAGUAUGCACUAUGCUCCAGAAACUAAACACAAAGGCAAUUGACUUCAGCAUCACUUUGUCCUUCAGCUAGCAAACACGUUUCGAAUUUAGUAAGGUCUAAC